GUGAAUUGGUAUGAAACAAAUAUUUAUUGAAGUCAGAGUGAGGUGAUAAAAUAGAUGAACUUAAUAGAAACAAUUGGUAUAUAUGUACAGAAUACUGUUUCACGAGUCAUUUAGAUGACAUCUGAUGUACUUCAGAUUCAGAUGUCAUAGUUUACACAAUGUCAAAAAACAAAAUACAUACUAAUGAGAAUGUUUUGUAGAAAGUAGAGAUUCUAAAAGAAGAAAAACAGGGCUAACAAAAUGGACACCAAGGUUCUGCUUGCUUCUACAACUGUGUUGAUCACUUAGCUUAAUGUCUCAUGUGUUGAAAUCUUAAAACUAUGUGCAUAUACAAAGGUGUAGAACAUGUUCCAAUAUAAGACUGAGGCCGAGAAGGCCAUACAUUAAUCAAGCUGAAAUGUAUGUAAGCUACAAAAGAUUCCAGCGACCUCUACAUUGGUAAAAGGCAGCCCCUUAAAUAGAAUAAGCAGGAUACAUCUUGUUGCCUCAAAAGUCGAAAUCAUCAGGGCGAAGGUCAACAAAGGUUUGAUAAGCGAGGCAAAGCGGAGAACACUUGACAAAGUAUGUGCAAUGUCUGAGAAGGCGAACUCCUCCAGAACUCCUUAUGUUAGUAGUGGAAAAACGUUAUAAAGAAAAACUGGCUGCGGGAGCAUGAAUCAUGGUCUGUUGAUACGUUGCCGUGUUCGAAUCCACUGUCUAACUGCAGAAGCUUCGGACAUAAUAAUCUUCAUUUCAAAAGGAAAAGAAAUGUUGGGGGGGGGGGGGGAAAUUG
Biomphalaria pfeifferi is the source of this 772-nucleotide non-coding RNA. NCBI's taxonomy places the organism in Eukaryota, Metazoa, Mollusca, Gastropoda, Planorbidae. The record is from the annotation of a GenBank genome assembly.